Molecule: long non-coding RNA, 202 nt
Filed under: Elaeis guineensis (African oil palm)
Lineage: Eukaryota; Viridiplantae; Streptophyta; Magnoliopsida; Arecales; Arecaceae
Description: long non-coding RNA (EGUI_LNC021823)
Source: RNAcentral
UAAGCCCUCAUGCGUCUGCAAUCAUUAGAUAGUCUAAGUCUGGACAAAGUCUAUCAAUUUAUAAGAUGAAAACAUCAUCAAGACAAGCCCAAGCUACCAACCAAUCUAUUAGGCGAUUCCCUUCUUUGAAUAUAUGAGAAACUUUAGUGACCCAAAUAGAUUUUGUCCACUAUUGAAUGUCCUGUAGCAGAGGAAGAUUAGC